RNAcentral lists this ribosomal RNA (460 nucleotides) under uncultured bacterium. Its description in RNAcentral is "partial 16S ribosomal RNA". It matches the Rfam family "Bacterial small subunit ribosomal RNA", at positions 338 to 795 of the family's 1533-position model. The record is from RNAcentral.
CCUACGGGCGGCAGCAGUGAGGAAUAUUGGUCAAUGGACGAGAGUCUGAACCAGCCAAGUAGCGUGAAGGAUGACUGCCCUAUGGGUUGUAAACUUCUUUUAUAUGGGAAUAAAAUGUUCCACGUGUGGGAUUUUGUAUGUACCAUAUGAAUAAGGAUCGGCUAACUCCGGGCCAGCAGCCGCGGUAAUACGGAGGAUCCGAGCGUUAUCCGGAUUGAUUGGGUUUAAAGGGAGCGUAGGUGGAUUGUUAAGUCAGUUGUGAAAGUUUGCGGCUCAACCGUAAAAUUGCAGUUGAAAAUGGCAGUCUUGAGUACAGUAGAGGUGGGCGGAAUUCGUGGUGUAGCGGUGAAAUGCUUAGAUAUCACGAAGAACUCCGAUUGCGAAGGCAGCUCACUGGACUGCAACUGACACUGAGGCUCGAAAGUGUGGGUAUCAAACAGGAUUAGAUACCCCGGUAGUC